CUCUGAUUCACUCUGUAUAUAAUCAGCUUGAAGUAAAGAAUCUUCAGUUACCACUCGAUCAGUGCAUGUGUAAUAUCUCAUCCGAAUCACUUUUGAUAUUCCCAUGCCAAGAUUUGAUGAGAAUUAAUGGCAAGGGACGACAUCAAUAAAAAAACCAAAAUGAUAAAACCAAGUAUUUUCAAAUUCGAAACUGACAUAAUAUGGUAUAUCGCUUUCCAAGUCUUUCUAUUGCACGCUAUUGGUAUUUAUGGUUUAUUGACUUUCAACUACUGGCAAAAUUUGAUGACUACAAUAUGGAUAAUCGCUAUGCAUAUCAUAUCUAAUAUUGGAGUGUCUGGUGGCGCUCAUCGACUUUGGUCUCACAAAAGCUAUAAAGCAAAGUUACCGUUAAGAAUUCUACUUUUGAUAUGCUUUAGUGCAGGU
Trachymyrmex cornetzi is the source of this 423-nucleotide long non-coding RNA. RefSeq lists it as uncharacterized. The record is from RefSeq and is a predicted model, not a curated record. Lineage: Eukaryota; Metazoa; Arthropoda; Insecta; Hymenoptera; Formicidae. The transcript is spliced from 3 exons.